UGCCUAAGUAGUAUCGGGAAAGUUUUUCGCUAUAGGAUGAGGCUGCGGUCUAUCAGCUAGUUGGUGAGGUAACGGCUCACCAAGGCUAUGACGGAUAGCUGGUCUGAGAGGAUGAUCAGCCACACUGGAACUGAGACACGGUCCAGACUCCUACGGGAGGCAGCAGUGGGGAAUUUUACACAAUGGGCGAAAGCCUGAUGUAGCAACGCCGCGUGGAGGAUGAAGGAUUUAGGUUCGUAAACUCCUUUUAUAGGGGAAGAAAUUUGACGGUACCCUAUGAAUAAGCACCGGCUAACUCCGUGCCAGCAGCCGCGGUAAUACGGGGGGUGCAAGCGUUACUCGGAAUCACUGGGCGUAAAGGGAGCGUAGGCGUUCUAUUAAGUCUUGAGUGAAAGCCCGCAGCCUAACUGCGGAACUGCUCAGGAAACUGAUAGAAUUGAGUAUGGAAGAGGUCAGUGGAAUUUCCAGUGUAGGGGUAAAAUCCGUAGAUAUUGGAAGGAAUACCAGAAGCGA
This 513-nucleotide ribosomal RNA is filed under the name uncultured Campylobacterota bacterium. RNAcentral's name for it is "bacterial SSU rRNA". It matches the Rfam family "Bacterial small subunit ribosomal RNA", at positions 185 to 718 of the family's 1533-position model. The record is from RNAcentral. Lineage: Bacteria; Pseudomonadati; Campylobacterota.